Molecule: ribosomal RNA, 468 nt
Filed under: uncultured bacterium
Lineage: Bacteria
Description: partial 16S ribosomal RNA
Rfam family: Bacterial small subunit ribosomal RNA
Source: RNAcentral
GACGAACGCUGGCGGCGUGCUUAACACAUGCAAGUCGGACGGAAAGGCCCUGCUUUUGUGGGGUGCUCGGGUGGCGAACGGGUGAGUAACACGUGAGUAACCUGCCCUUGACUUUGGGAUAACUUCGGGAAACUGGGGCUAAUACCGGAUAGGAGCUCCUGCUGCAUGGUGGGGGUUGGAAAGUUUCGGCGGUUGGGGAUGGACUCGCGGCUUAUCAGCUUGUUGGUGGGGUAGUGGCUUACCAAGGCUUUGACGGGUAGCCGGCCUGAGAGGGUGACCGGCCACAUUGGGACUGAGAUACGGCCCAGACUCCUACGGGAGGCAGCAGUGGGGAAUAUUGCACAAUGGGCGGAAGCCUGAUGCAGCAACGCCGCGUGCGGGAUGACGGCCUUCGGGUUGUAAACCGCUUUCGCCUGUGACGAAGCGUGAGUGACGGUAAUGGGUAAAGAAGCACCGGCUAACUACGUG